CUACAGGUGAGGAUACUUUGGCCAUUCCCACUACCUUAGCUGAUGGAGCUUCGGAUGUUGCUACAACCAUGUAUGAGAAAACAUUGCCUGUUACAACGACUGCAGGUGUGGAAACAAUGGCUGAUGCUACCAUUAUUGUUGACAAAACCUUUACUGUUGCCACAACUGUAGGCGAACAAUCUUUGCCUGUUUUCACAACCAUUGAUGAGCAAACGUCAACUGCUGCUGCAAGCUUGGUUGACGAAGCUUCAUUUUCCCAUUUAACUUUGAGCAAAAGAACUUCGACUCUGACCGCAACCUUGGGUGAUCAAACUUCAAGCAUUGCUACCUUCCAUCCAGAAAUUCCUAGUGUUCCUGCAACUGUGGGUGAAGAAACUUGUAGCAUUCCCGCACCCUCGGCUGAAGAAACUCGUAUUCUUCCAAACUUGGAUGCAGAAACUCCUAUCCAUCCUGUGACCUUGGCAGAGGAAACCCCUAGUAUUUCUAGAACCUUGGGCGAAGAUACUCCAUCUGUCCCUGCAGCCUCCAAUGAAGAAGCUCUGGUAGGUACUCUGAUCUUCAGUGGAGGAACUCACACCCUUCCUGGAAAAUUGGUUCCCACAACCUUGUGUGAGGAAACAACCAUGCCUGCAACGUUAGGUCAAGAAACUCCUACCCUUCCUGCAACAUUGGGUGAAGAAGCUCAUAGUAUUCCCUCAACCUCGAGUGACGAAAAUCGUGGCAUUCCAACUAACUUGGAUGAAGAAACUCCUACUGAUCCUGUGACCUUGGCAGAGGAAAGCCCCAGUAUUCCUGAAACCUUGGAUGAAGAAACUCCAUCUGUUCCUCCAACAUUCAGUGAAGAAACUCCAGCUGUUCCUCCGUCAUACAGUGAAGGAACUACUAUUCCUCCUUCCUUCAACGAGGAAACUCCUACUGUUCCUGUAACAUUGGGUCCAGAAACUCUAACCACUUCUACCGCCACGAGUGAGGAAACUGCAAAGAUUCCUGCGACCUCAGGUGAGGAAACUACAAGUGCUCCUGUGACCCUGCAUGAGGAAACUCUGGCUAUUCCGACAACUUUGGAUGAGGGCAGUCCAACAAUGACCACAAAAUUGGAUGAGGAAACUCCAACCAGUCCCACGAACUUAGCUGAGGAAACUUUGACUACUCCCACAUCCUCCGGUGUGGAAGCUUCA
Molecule: long non-coding RNA, 1178 nt
Filed under: Gossypium barbadense (sea-island cotton)
Lineage: Eukaryota; Viridiplantae; Streptophyta; Magnoliopsida; Malvales; Malvaceae
Description: long non-coding RNA (GBAR_LNC004558)
Source: RNAcentral